UACUUACUUUGUUCCAUCAUUUAGUAUAUUAUAUUUUUUUAUACGUAACAACGAAAUUUGUUAUUGUUCCUCAUUUGUAUUAUUUGGAUUGAAUCCUUGAUUUUUGACUCUAUAUCACGGAAUAUUCUAAUAAUUGUCAAGCCAAUAUUGUCGAGACUGGAAUUAAAGAAAGCUUAUCUUUUUUAUAAUGCCGGCCUAUUGUUGUGUACCAAAUUGUCGCAGUGGAUAUAAAAAUGCACAAAGGACCCUACUGUGUCUUUAUAUUCGUUCCCUUAUGAUAAAUGCUGUUAUAGUUACUUCUGACCUCGAUAAUCAUUGCCUCUGUACUGUAGAAUACAUAAAUUCCUCCAUAUCUACGGAACCAUCGUAUGCUUCUACAUGUAUGAACUAUGGAGUAGCAUAAAACGACUGAAAACUUUAAGAUCCAGUGAGGAACAGAGAGAGUUAGUUACCAUCAACUACUCCUUCAUUGAAGGUUGCUAAGUCAAGUCAACUCUUCUUCGUCUCCUAUUUGAGGAGUGGGAAACAAAGUCUGAAUCCAGCUCUUAAUCAGGAUAGGUGGGUGAUAACUAAAAAAAAUUUCAAACUCAUGGGGACAAGGGUUCCCAAUUUCAUUUAUUUAUAGUGGGUCGGGUUAAAACAUAGAAAAAAAAGCUUUUUACAAUCACAUCCCAAAAUUUUAAUGGGACCCAACUGAAUUCACUUUAAGGCUCAUCCCUGAUUAUUGAUUUCUUUAAUACUUGUGAGUAUCUUUUGUGAUUGGAAAAAAAGUGGAAGAAGAUUUUUUUACUGCCGUAAUUAAAGAGUAUUAAAGAAUGAAUACUGAGAAAUUUAUGUAUAUAUUUUUAUACUUUCAGAAGAAAUUUGAAGCAAGUCCUAUCCAUAAUAUAUUCUCAAUUCUUAUUUUUUUUUUAUUAUCACUAAUAGUGGUGCGGUUGUGGGUGUAAAACUCCAAAAAAUCCUGGAAAAACAAGAUCCCAACUCAUUUUUUCACAAAAAAAGGAUCUUGAUCAGGGGGAAAAAAUGUUAUGUAACACCUUUAAAAAAAUCUUGGGUCUACGAUUUAAAUUUGGAUCUACCUUGAGAAGUAACACAAAAAAUAUUUUAUUCUAUGAUUAAAUAUUAUAAAUAUAUUUUUCCUUACAAAAGUAACUAAUUCUAACAAGUAAAAACAAUUAACAAAUAACAUUUACAAGAUGUACAUCUCUCACAAUUCCUCAUAAAAUUUUACCAUCAUUUUUCAAAUAUAUAGUUUAAGUUACACUACUUUUAAUUUUAUGAUUUUUUGUCCAAUAUUGAGUUUUGGGUGAUUUAUUAAAGGAGAAAUAUUUGUUCAAGUCAAUAAAAAUAUGUUAUUAGAAAAAAUACCGAUUUUCUCAAAAUUUACAAUUCAACUACUCUCAUAUCGGAAAUUUAAUACAUUGAUUAUAUUAAAACUGAUAAUAAAAGUUUUAAAAUCGAUUUGAAAUCUC
This 1472-nucleotide long non-coding RNA is filed under the name Lepeophtheirus salmonis (salmon louse). RNAcentral describes it as "uncharacterized LOC121122225". Lineage: Eukaryota; Metazoa; Arthropoda; Copepoda; Siphonostomatoida; Caligidae. The record is from RNAcentral.